Molecule: long non-coding RNA, 971 nt
Organism: Stylophora pistillata
Lineage: Eukaryota; Metazoa; Cnidaria; Anthozoa; Scleractinia; Pocilloporidae
Source: RefSeq, a predicted model, not a curated record
UAUAAUUGUUUAUGUUUUCGAUCCCCUAGUUUUUUAAACGAAGCAGUUUAAGAGCUACUCGGACAGCAUAUUUUUGUUAUUCAAGAAGUUACCAGACGGCUUUGCUUAAGGAAAUCGGUGAAAUUUUGACCACCGCAAUGUUUGUUUGCUUCAGGAUGUCAUUUUGGAGAUAACUAAACUUGGGAUGAUGCUUAAUACUGAACCGUUUCAUGAUUUCUUUUCACUGCGGAAGUAUUGCAGAAUCUCAAUCAUUAGAAAAAGGAAUGUGCGUCUUGAUUUGGAGCAAUGAAACCCCUGAUCAGUUUAAUUAAAUAUUCUGAACUAAAAUAGAGCGAAAAAAAUUAAUUAUUUGCACUAAUAGUUUGGUGGUGGUUCAUCCACAGGUUAGCUAUGUGUCCUCUGUUUUCAGGUCGCAUUUGAAUCUGUAGGAAAGAAAAUCAGAGGAAAGCCAUGGUUCAUUAGAUUGGACAGGAAAAUACUGAACCUGCAUGACUCCAAAGGGAUGAGUGUCAGAUUAGAACUAUUUCGAUGUCUCGGGCCGUCGGAGUAAUAACUCGUGGAAUUCGUGUCAAGGCUGGGUUUAUCGAAGUUUGGAGCUGCUAGAUGAUACAUUUCAAGAUUCGUUUCGACCCGAGAUACAAAGUUUAACACUGUUUUGUCAACAACUGGAGCAUUAAAUUCAAGUGUUUACCGAAGCAAGUUCGCCAGCUUGAUUAUCCAGGCGGUUAAGAGCUGCGUGCAUUCCAAGGGUAACAAAAGAGACAUUUCAUUCAAGUCAACUUUAAAGAGACUUCGAGGGACAACAGGUGGGAAGUUGUUGCCAUUCACGGUGAUUUUGUGAAAACCUCUACAGCUGGAAUCUUCUUCGUCGCAUCGCCAAGAAAGGUCAUGUUCGUAACAGCCCCGAUGCCAACAGCAAUCGCCACAAAACCAACUCCAGCACCAACAUCCUUUACCGCACAUCCCGCGGC